UAGGGAAUCUUCGGCAAUGGACGAAAGUCUGACCGAGCAACGCCGCGUGAGUGAAGAAGGUUUUCGGAUCGUAAAACUCUGUUGUUAGAGAAGAACAAGGACGUUAGUAACUGAACGUCUCCUGACGUUAUCUAACCAGAAAGCCACGGCUAACUACGUGCCAGCAGCCGCGGUAAUACGUAGGUGGCAAGCGUUGUCCGGAAUUAUUGGGCGUAAAGCGAGCGCAGGCGGUUUCUUAAGUCUGAUGUGAAAGCCCCCGGCUCAACCGGGGAGGGUCAUUGGAAACUGGUAGACUGCAGUGCAGAAGAGGAGAGUGGAAUUCCAUGUGGAGCGGUGAAAUGCGUAGAUAUAUGGAGGAACACCAGUGGCGAAGGCGGCUCACUGGUCUGUAACUGACGCUGAGGCUCGAAAGCGAGGGGAGCGAACAGG
This 429-nucleotide ribosomal RNA is filed under the name Gemmatimonadota bacterium. RNAcentral describes it as "Gemmatimonadetes bacterium partial 16S ribosomal RNA". It matches the Rfam family "Bacterial small subunit ribosomal RNA", at positions 355 to 776 of the family's 1533-position model. Lineage: Bacteria; Pseudomonadati; Gemmatimonadota. The record is from RNAcentral.